CUUGUGGCUCCUGCAUUCGUCGUUCGAGACCACGCCGAUCCUUGCCGAGAGACGUCGACAGCUCUUCGUGGUCACCGGAGUGCUUGGUGACCAAGGUGCCUCAACGCCUGGCCAACUUCUUCGUCCGGACGCGGCUAUGCAACCCUACCAUGGCGGCCUUCCUAUCACAUGAAAUCUACUCGCCCUUGGUCUUCCGGAGCGUCAGAAAUAAUUUUGCGUCUACGAGGUCAUCUGUGGACGCUGCGUCCAGUAUUCACGGAUGUGCCGCCUCAUGCUGCUGUCUCCCCGCCUUCAGUCUUUCUCCUCCUGCCGACAGUGGUUCCAUGCUGUCACCUAGUGCCCUUCGAGUGGAUGUGCAGUCCUGUUUCGCUACGGACAAUAUUUCCGCGAUUCAACUCUAAUAAAGAUUUUCAUGAACGCA
This is a long non-coding RNA of Rhipicephalus microplus (southern cattle tick), 421 nucleotides long. Lineage: Eukaryota; Metazoa; Arthropoda; Arachnida; Ixodida; Ixodidae. The record is from RefSeq and is a predicted model, not a curated record.